This 468-nucleotide ribosomal RNA is filed under the name uncultured bacterium. RNAcentral's name for it is "partial 16S ribosomal RNA". It matches the Rfam family "Bacterial small subunit ribosomal RNA", at positions 28 to 507 of the family's 1533-position model. The record is from RNAcentral.
GACGAACGCUGGCGGCGUGCUUAACACAUGCAAGUCGAACGGAAAGGCCCUGCUUUUGUGGGGUGCUCGAGUGGCGAACGGGUGAGUAACACGUGAGUAACCUGCCCUUGACUUUGGGAUAACUUCAGGAAACUGGGGCUAAUACCGGAUAGGAGCUCCUGCUUCAUGGUGGGGGUUGGAAAGUUUCGGCGGUGGGGGAUGGACUCGCGGCUUAUCAGCUUGUUGGUGGGGUAGUGGCUUACCAAGGCUUUGACGGGUAGCCGGCCUGAGAGGGUGACCGGCCACAUUGGGACUGAGAUACGGCCCAGACUCCUACGGGAGGCAGCAGUGGGGAAUAUUGCACAAUGGGCGGAAGCCUGAUGCAGCAACGCCGCGUGCGGGAUGACGGCCUUCGGGUUGUAAACCGCUUUCGCCUGUGACGAAGCGUGAGUGACGGUAAUGGGUAAAGAAGCACCGGCUAACUACGUG